Molecule: non-coding RNA, 77 nt
Organism: Potamilus streckersoni
Lineage: Eukaryota; Metazoa; Mollusca; Bivalvia; Unionida; Unionidae
Source: the annotation of a GenBank genome assembly
GACCGCUCUGGUGGCAUAGUGGUUAGAGCGUCCGCCUCAGAUGUAGGAGGUCGCAGGUUCCAUCCCCGGCCGAGUCG